Molecule: ribosomal RNA, 497 nt
Filed under: uncultured bacterium
Lineage: Bacteria
Description: partial 16S ribosomal RNA
Rfam family: Bacterial small subunit ribosomal RNA
Source: RNAcentral
GAUGAACGCUGGCGGCGUGCCUAAUACAUGCAAGUCGAGCGAACAGACGAGGAGCUUGCUCCUCUGACGUUAGCGGCGGACGGGUGAGUAACACGUGGAUAACCUACCUAUAAGACUGGGAUAACUUCGGGAAACCGGAGCUAAUACCGGAUAAUAUAUUGAACCGCAUGGUUCAAUAGUGAAAGACGGUUUUGCUGUCACUUAUAGAUGGAUCCGCGCCGCAUUAGCUAGUUGGUAAGGUAACGGCUUACCAAGGCAACGAUGCGUAGCCGACCUGAGAGGGUGAUCGGCCACACUGGAACUGAGACACGGUCCAGACGCCUACGGGAGGCAGCAGUAGGGAAUCUUCAGCAAUGGGCGAAAGCCUGACGGAGCAACGCCGCGUGAGUGAUGAAGGUCUUCGGAUCGUAAAACUCUGUUAUUAGGGAAGAACAAAUGUGUAAGUAACUAUGCACGUCUUGACGGUACCUAAUCAGAAAGCCACGGCUAACUACGUG